CUAACAAUUUAUCCUCUUUUGUUUUUUCAUUGAUGAAAAAACAAAAUUCACUA
This 53-nucleotide transfer RNA is filed under the name Cryptanthus colnagoi. RNAcentral's name for it is "tRNA-Leu". The record is from RNAcentral. Lineage: Eukaryota; Viridiplantae; Streptophyta; Magnoliopsida; Poales; Bromeliaceae.